This 512-nucleotide ribosomal RNA is filed under the name uncultured bacterium. Its description in RNAcentral is "bacterial SSU rRNA". It matches the Rfam family "Bacterial small subunit ribosomal RNA", at positions 28 to 529 of the family's 1533-position model. The record is from RNAcentral.
GAUGAACGCUAGCGGGAGGCCUAAUACAUGCAAGUCGAACGGUAACAGGAUAGCAAUAUCGCUGACGAGUGGCGUACGGGUGCGUAACGCGUACACAACCUGCCGAAUACUGGGGUAUACCCUCGGGAAACUGAGAAUAAUCCCCCAUAAUAUUACAGAGUGGCAUCACUCCGUAAUUAAAACUACCGGUGGUAUUCGAUGGGUGUGCGUCCGAUUAGGUAGUUGGUGAGGUAAUGGCUCACCAAGCCAACGAUCGGUAGCUGGUCUGAGAGGACGAUCAGCCACACGGGCACUGAGACACGGGCCCGACUCCUACGGGAGGCAGCAGUAGGGAAUAUUGGACAAUGGAGGCAACUCUGAUCCAGCCAUCCCGCGUGAAGGAUGGAGGUCCUCUGGGAUUGUAAACUUCUUUUUCUCUGGGGAAUAAAAAACUCCGAUUUACUCGGAGCUUGAAGGUACCAGAGGGAAUAAGCACCGGCUAACUCCGUGCCAGCAGCCGCGGUAAAGUCUGU